RNAcentral lists this ribosomal RNA (468 nucleotides) under uncultured bacterium. RNAcentral's name for it is "partial 16S ribosomal RNA". It matches the Rfam family "Bacterial small subunit ribosomal RNA", at positions 28 to 507 of the family's 1533-position model. The record is from RNAcentral.
GACGAACGCUAGCGGCGUGCUUAACACAUGCAAGUCGAACGGAAAGGCCCUGCUUUUGUGGGGUGCUCGAGUGGCGAACGGGUGAGUAACACGUGAGUAACCUGCCCUUGACUUUGGGAUAACUUCAGGAAACUGGGGCUAAUACCGGAUAGGAGCUCCUGCUGCAUGGUGGGGGUUGGAAAGUUUCGGCGGUUGGGGAUGGACUCGCGGAUUAUCAGCUUGUUGGUGGGGUAGUGGCUUACCAAGGCUUUGAGGGGUAGCAGGACUGAGAGGGUGACCGGCCACAUGAGGACUGAGAUAAGGCACAGACGCCUACGGGAGGCAGCAGUGGGGAAUAGUGCACAAUGGGCGGAAGCCUGAUGCAGCAACGCCGCGUGCGGGAUGACGGCCUUCGGGUUGUAAACCGCUUUCGCCUGAGACGAAGCGUGAGUGACGGUAAUGGGUAAAGAAGCACCGGCUAACUACGUG